CGAAUAACCUCGGGAAACUGAGGCUAAUGCGGAAUAGCGUUCAUCGCCUGGAGUGGCACGAACGCGCAAACGUUACGGCGCCAUAGGAUGUGGCUGCGGCCGAUUAGGUAGACGGUGGGGUAACGGCCCACCGUGCCCAUAAUCGGUACGGGUUGUGAGAGCAAGAGCCCGGAGACGGUAUCUGAGACAAGAUACCGGGCCCUACGGGGCGCAGCAGGCGCGAAACCUUUACACUGCACGCGAGUGCGAUAAGGGGACUCCGAGUGCGAGGGCAUAUAGUCCUCGCUUUUCACGACCGUAAGGUGGUCGUAGAAUAAGUGCUGGGCAAGACCGGUGCCAGCCGCCGCGGUAAUACCGGCAGCACGAGUGAUGACCGCUAUUAUUGGGCCUAAAGCGUCCGUAGCUGGCCACGCAAGUCUAUCGGGAAAUCCGCGCGCUUAACGCGCGGGCGUCCGGUGGAAACUGCGUGGCUUGGGACCGGAAGACCAGAGGGGUACGUCCGGGGUAGGAGUGAAAUCCCGUAAUCCUGGACGGACCACCGGUGGCGAAAGCGCCUCUGGAAGACGGAUCCGACGGUGAGGGACGAAAGCUCGGGUCACGAACCGGAUUAGAUACCCGGGUAGUCCGAGCUGUAAACGAUGUCUGCUAGGUGUGGCACAGGCUACGAGCCUGUGCUGUGCCGUAGGGAAGCCGUGAAGCAGACCGCCUGGGAAGUACGUCCG
RNAcentral lists this ribosomal RNA (722 nucleotides) under Halorubrum sp. SSR. RNAcentral describes it as "bacterial SSU rRNA". It matches the Rfam family "Archaeal small subunit ribosomal RNA", at positions 123 to 843 of the family's 1478-position model. The record is from RNAcentral. Lineage: Archaea; Methanobacteriati; Methanobacteriota; Halobacteria; Halobacteriales; Haloferacaceae.